GUGGGGAAUAUUGCACAAUGGGCGCAAGCCUGAUGCAGCAACGCCGCGUGAGGGAUGACGGCCUUCGGGUUGUAAACCUCUUUUAGUAGGGAAGAAGCGUAAGUGACGGUACCUGCAGAAAAAGCACCGGCUAACUACGUGCCAGCAGCCGCGGUAAUACGUAGGGUGCAAGCGUUGUCCGGAAUUAUUGGGCGUAAAGAGCUCGUAGGCGGCUUGUCGCGUCUGCUGUGAAAACCCGAGGCUCAACCUCGGGCUUGCAGUGGGUACGGGCAGGCUAGAGUGCGGUAGGGGAGAUUGGAAUUCCUGGUGUAGCGGUGGAAUGCGCAGAUAUCAGGAGGAACACCGAUGGCGAAGGCAGAUCUCUGGGCCGUAACUGACGCUGAGGAGCGAAAGCAUGGGGAGCGAACAGGAUUAGAUACCCGAGUAGUCC
RNAcentral lists this ribosomal RNA (430 nucleotides) under uncultured bacterium. RNAcentral describes it as "partial 16S ribosomal RNA". It matches the Rfam family "Bacterial small subunit ribosomal RNA", at positions 354 to 796 of the family's 1533-position model. The record is from RNAcentral.